CAGGGAAGGCAGUGUUCCCCUUUGCUGCUGAUUCACCAGGAGCAAAUGCUGGUUCCCUGGCCGGCUGAUCAGCUGGAUUCAUCGCAGGAAUUUAAGUUCCAGCAGCAAGGACCGGCGGCGGAGCUGGAGAGCUGGAUCCCACUGAGAGGAUGAAAACAUGGGGCUCAAGUUAUCCUGCCUGAAAGGCUUGAAGACGUGUGUGAGCAGCGGGAACGGCAGCGACCGGCCCCCGACGGCGUCCUCGGGGGAGAAGCACCUGCACGUGCCCUCCAUCAUCGUCACGCCGCCAACACCC
Chiroxiphia lanceolata (lance-tailed manakin) is the source of this 295-nucleotide long non-coding RNA. RefSeq lists it as uncharacterized. The record is from RefSeq and is a predicted model, not a curated record. NCBI's taxonomy places the organism in Eukaryota, Metazoa, Chordata, Aves, Passeriformes, Pipridae. The transcript is spliced from 3 exons.